This 568-nucleotide ribosomal RNA is filed under the name uncultured archaeon. RNAcentral's name for it is "bacterial SSU rRNA". It matches the Rfam family "Archaeal small subunit ribosomal RNA", at positions 327 to 895 of the family's 1478-position model. The record is from RNAcentral.
GGGGCGCAGCAGGCGCGAAAACUUUACAAUGCCGGCAACGGCGAUAAGGGAACCUCGAGUGCCAGGUUACAAAUCUGGCUGUCGUGAUGCCUAAAAAGCAUUGCAUAGCAAGGGCCGGGCAAGACCGGUGCCAGCCGCCGCGGUAACACCGGCGGCUCGAGUGGUAACCGUUAUUAUUGGGUCUAAAGGGUCUGUAGCCGGCCGGGUAAGUCUCUUGGGAAAUCUGGCAGCUUAACUGUCAGGCUUUCAGGAGAUACUGCCUGGCUCGAGGCCGGGAGAGGUGAGAGGUACUUCAGGGGUAGGGGUGAAAUCUUGUAAUCCUUGAAGGACCACCAGUGGCGAAGGCGUCUCACCAGAACGGACCUGACGGCAAGGGACGAAAGCUAGGGGCACGAACCGGAUUAGAUACCCGGGUAGUCCUAGCCGUAAACGAUACUCGCUAGGUGUCGGCCACGGUGCGACCGUGGUCGGUGCCGUAGGGAAGCCGUGAAGCGAGCCACCUGGGAAGUACGGCCGCAAGGCUGAAACUUAAAGGAAUUGGCGGGGGAGCACAAGGGCGAAUNGCGGC